UGGUUGUGCAAUGGGCGUGCAAAGGGCGUGCAGGGCGCCGAGGGCGUGCGGUGCGUGUUGUGAGUGUGUGUGUGGUGGGUGUUGUGUGUGUUGUGUGGUGUGUGCAGUGUGUGUGUGUGUGUGUGUGUCAUGUGUGGUGUGUGCAAUGAGUGUGCAAUGGGUGUGCAAAGGGCGUGUGGGGCGCCGAGGGUGUGCGGUGUGUGUGUUGUGUGUGUUGUGUGUGUGGUGUGUGCAGUGGGUGUGCAAUGGGUGUGCAAAGGGCGUGCGGUGCGUGUUGUGUGUGUGUCGUGUGUUCUCUGUGUUGUGUGUACAAUGGGCGUGCAAAGGGUGUGCGGGGCACAGAGGAUGUGCAGUGUGUGUUGUGAUUGUGUGUGGUGGGUGUGUGUAGUGUCUGUGCAAUGGGUGUGCAAAGGGUGUGCAGGGCACCGAGUGCGUGUGGUGCAAUGUAUUGUGUGCGUGUCUUGUGUUAUGUGUGUGCUGUGGGUGUGCAAUGGGCGUGCAAAGUGCGUGCGGGGCACUGAGGGCGUGUGGUGUGUGUGCUGUGUAUGUCUUGUGAUAUGUGUGUGCUGUGGUUGUGCAAUGGGUGUGCAAAGGGUGUGCAGGUCACCGAGUGCGUGCGGUGUGUGGUGUGUGUGUCUGUCACAUGUGUUGUGUGUGCAAUGGGCGUGCAGUGGGUGUGCAGGGCACUGAGUGUGUGCGGUGUGUGUUGUGUGUGUGUGGUGUGUGCAAUGGCUGUGCAAUGGUUGUGCAAUGGUUGUGCAGCAGCUGUGCAAUGGCUGUGCAAUGGUCGUGCAAAGGGCAUGCGGUACAUGUUGUGUGCUGUGUGCGUAUCGUGUGUUCUGUGUACGGUGUGUGCUGUGGGUGUGCAGUGGGCGUGCAAAGGGUGUGUGGGGCACCGAGUGCAUGCGGAGUGUGUUGUGUGUGCGGUGGAUGGGAUGUGUCACAUGUGCAGUGGGUGUGCAAUGGGUGUGCAGGGUGUUGAGUGUGUGUGUGUCACAUGUUCUGUGUGCACUGAGUGUGCAAUGGGCAUACAAUGGGUGUGCAAUGGGUGUGCAAAGGGCGUGCGGUGUGUGUUGUGAUUGGGUGUGUUGUGUGUGUGUUGUGUGUGUAUUGUGUGCAGUGGGUUGUGUGGUGUGUGUCAUGUUCUGUGUGUGGUGUGUGCAAUGGAUGGGCAAUGGGUGUGCAAUAGGCGUGCAAUGGACGUGCAAAGGGUGUGCGGGGUGCCGAGGGUGUGCGGUGUGUGUUGUGAGUGUGUGUGUGAUGGGUGUAUCACUUGUGUGUGUGGUGUGUGCAGUGGGUGUGCAACGGGUAUGCAGUGCAGUGGGUGUGCAAUGGGCGUGCAAAGUGCAUGCAGGGCACCUAGUGUGUGCGGUGUGUGCUGUGUGUGUGUGUCACGUGCUGGGUGUGCAAUGGGUGUGCAGGGUGUUGAGUGCGUGUUUGUGUGAGUGUCACACGUAUUGUGUGUGCAUCGGGUGUGCAAUGGGCGUGCAAUGGUGCAGGUUGCAGAGUGCAUGUGGUGCAUGUGGUGAGUGUGCAUGUGUGUGUCAUAUGUGCUCUGUGUGUGCACUGGGCUUGCACUGGGUGUGCAAUGGGUGUGCAGUGUAUGUCGUGAGUGUGCACGGGGAGUUCAGUUAGCGCAGGAGCUGUGCAGUAGGUGUGCACGUGGUGCAAUGGGUGUGCAGUGAGUGUGCAAUGAGUGUGCAUAGGGUGCGUAGUGCGUACGGUUAGCGUGCAGUGGUUCUGCACGUGUUUUAAUGAGUGUGCAGUGCAGUGAGUGUGCCAUGGGCGUGCUAAGGAAGGGUACUGAGUGUAGUCAGUGUACAGUGGGUGUGUAAUGGGUGUGCAAAUGGUGUGUGUUGCAGUGUGUGCACAUGGGGCAUGCAGUGUUUGUACUCACAUGGUCUGCAUUGCAUGUGUGCAAUGUGUGGUGCAUCUGUGCAUGGGUGUGAGUGUGCAAGGCGUGAACAUUUGUGUAUAGGGGCAGGAUGAAGUGUAUAUGUGUGCAAUUAGACCCUAUUCACACGCGUGUGCAAGGCUUAGUCUGCACAGCACAGAGCAUGCAUGUGC
Molecule: long non-coding RNA, 2067 nt
Organism: Coturnix japonica (Japanese quail)
Lineage: Eukaryota; Metazoa; Chordata; Aves; Galliformes; Phasianidae
Source: Ensembl